Molecule: ribosomal RNA, 396 nt
Filed under: uncultured bacterium
Lineage: Bacteria
Description: partial 16S ribosomal RNA
Rfam family: Bacterial small subunit ribosomal RNA
Source: RNAcentral
AUACGAAGGGUGCAAGCGUUAAUCGGAAUUACUGGGCGUAAAGCGCGCGUAGGUGGUUUUGUAAGUUGGAGGUGAAAGCCCCGGGCUCAACCUGGGAAUUGCCUCCAAAACUGCAUGACUAGAGUACGGUAGAGGGUAGUGGAAUUUCCUGUGUAGCGGUGAAAUGCGUAGAUAUAGGAAGGAACACCAGUGGCGAAGGCGAUUACCUGGAUGGAUACUGCCACUGAGGGGCGAAAGGUUGGGGAGCAAACAGGAUUAGAUCCCCUGGUAGUCCACGCCGUAAACGAUGUCAACUAGCCGUUGGGAUCCUUGAGAUCUUAGUGGCGCAGCUAACGCAUUAAGUUGACCGCCUGGGGAGUACGGCCGCAAGGUUAAAACUCAAAUGAAUUGACGGGG